GACGAACGCUGGCGGCGUGCUUAACACAUGCAAGUCGAACGGAAAGGCCCUGCUUUUGCGGGGUUCUCGAGUGGCGAACGGGUGAGUAACACGUGAGUAACCUGCCCUUGUCUUUGGGAUAACUUCAGGAAACUGGGGCUAAUACCGGAUAGGAUCUCCUGCUGCAUGGUGGGGGUUGGAAAGUUUCGGCGGUUGGGGAUGGACUCGCGGCUUAUCAGCUUGUUGGUGGGGUAGUGGCUUACCAAGGCUUUGACGGGUAGCCGGCCUGAGAGGGUGACCGGCCACAUUGGGACUGAGAUACGGCGCAGAGUGCUACGGGAGGCAGCAGUGGGGAAUAUUGCACAAUGGGCGGAAGCCUGAUGCAGCAACGCCGGGUGCGGGAUGACGGCCUUCGGGUUGUAAACCGCUUUCGCCUGUGACGAAGCGUGAGUGACGGUAAUGGGUAAAGAAGCACCGGCUAACUACGUG
Molecule: ribosomal RNA, 468 nt
Filed under: uncultured bacterium
Lineage: Bacteria
Description: partial 16S ribosomal RNA
Rfam family: Bacterial small subunit ribosomal RNA
Source: RNAcentral